This 272-nucleotide ribosomal RNA is filed under the name uncultured Staphylococcus sp. RNAcentral's name for it is "partial 16S ribosomal RNA". It matches the Rfam family "Bacterial small subunit ribosomal RNA", at positions 90 to 356 of the family's 1533-position model. The record is from RNAcentral. Lineage: Bacteria; Bacillati; Bacillota; Bacilli; Caryophanales; Staphylococcaceae.
CGGUAGCGGCGGACGGGUGAGUAACACGUGGGUAACCUACCUAUAAGACUGGGAUAACUUCGGGAAACCGGAGCUAAUACCGGAUAAUAUUUCGAACCGCAUGGUUCGAUAGUGAAAGAUGGUUUUGCUAUCACUUAUAGAUGGACCUGCGCCGUAUUAGCUAGUUGGUAAGGUAACGGCUUACCAAGGCGACGAUACGUAGCCGACCUGAGAGGGUGAUCGGCCACACUGGAACUGAGACACGGUCCAGACUCCUACGGGAGGCAGCAGCG